GUCUAUUAUGACAAGCAUAGAAUAAUUUGACUUGAUUACACAAAACGAUGCACUAGAUGAAAAGUCAGCACUAAGAAACAAGAAUAUGAAUACACAAAUAUGACAUACAACAGAUUAGUUUCCAUAUAUGUGGCAAGUUUGCAGCCCUUUAAUAUAUUUAUUCUUCAGGAUUUUACACAUUUUCAUCAAGUUAGCAGUACAUUUAAUGGGAUUUGGUCCUUCUACAUAAGGGAUCCGACGAGUUGGUUAACAAGUGUGGGGUGAAUUUUUAAAAAGCGG
This 279-nucleotide long non-coding RNA is filed under the name Mytilus galloprovincialis (Mediterranean mussel). Lineage: Eukaryota; Metazoa; Mollusca; Bivalvia; Mytilida; Mytilidae. The record is from RNAcentral.